RNAcentral lists this ribosomal RNA (253 nucleotides) under uncultured bacterium. RNAcentral describes it as "partial 16S ribosomal RNA". It matches the Rfam family "Bacterial small subunit ribosomal RNA", at positions 524 to 776 of the family's 1533-position model. The record is from RNAcentral.
UACAGAGGUCCCAAGCGUUGUUCGGAUUCACUGGGCGUAAAGGGUGCGUAGGCGGUUGGAUAAGUCUGAUGUGAAAUCUUCGAGCUCAACUCGGAAACUGCAUCGGAAACUAUUCGGCUAGAGGAUUGGAGGGGAGACUGGAAUUCUCGGUGUAGCAGUGAAAUGCGUAGAUAUCGAGAGGAACACCAGUGGCGAAGGCGAGUCUCUGGACAGUUACCGACGCUGAGGCACGAAGGUCAGGGGAGCAAACGGG